Molecule: ribosomal RNA, 492 nt
Filed under: uncultured bacterium
Lineage: Bacteria
Description: partial 16S ribosomal RNA
Rfam family: Bacterial small subunit ribosomal RNA
Source: RNAcentral
AGUGAACGCUGGCGGUAGGCCUAACACAUGCAAGUCGAACGGCAGCACAGUAAGAGCUUGCUCUUACGGGUGGCGAGUGGCGGACGGGUGAGGAAUACAUCGGAAUCUACUUUUUCGUGGGGGAUAACGUAGGGAAAAUUACGCUAAUACCGCAUACGACAUACGGGUGAAAGCAGGGGAUCUUCGGACCUUGCGCGAUUGAAUGAGCCGAUGUCGGAUUAGCUAGUUGGCGGGGUAAAGGCCCACCAAGGCGACGAUCCGUAGCUGGUCUGAGAGGAUGAUCAGCCACACUGGAACUGAGACACGGUCCAGACUCCUACGGGAGGCAGCAGUGGGGAAUAUUGGACAAUGGGCGCAAGCCUGAUCCAGCCAUACCGCGUGGGUGAAGAAGGCCUUCGGGUUGUAAAGCCCUUUUGUUGGGAAAGAAAAGCAGCAGGUUAAUACCCCGCUGUUCUGACGGUACCCAAAGAAUAAGCACCGGCUAACUUCGUG